RNAcentral lists this ribosomal RNA (274 nucleotides) under uncultured prokaryote. RNAcentral's name for it is "partial 16S ribosomal RNA". It matches the Rfam family "Bacterial small subunit ribosomal RNA", at positions 524 to 798 of the family's 1533-position model. The record is from RNAcentral.
CACGGGGUUGCGAGCGUUGUCCGGAAUUACUAGGCGUAAAGGGCAGGCAGGCGGAUCCAUAAGUUUAUCGUUUAAGGCGUCGGCUUAACCGGCGUAGGGCGGUAGAUACUGUGGAUCUGGAAUGCGGUUGGGGAAGACAGAAUUCCUGGUGUAGCGGUGGAAUGCGCAGAGAUCAGGAGGAAUACCGAAGGCGAAGGCAGUCUUCCAAGCCGUUAUUGACGCUCAACUGCGAAUGUGUGGGUAUCAAACAGGAUUAGAUACCCUGGUAGUCCCU